Molecule: long non-coding RNA, 36267 nt
Filed under: Nicotiana tabacum (common tobacco)
Lineage: Eukaryota; Viridiplantae; Streptophyta; Magnoliopsida; Solanales; Solanaceae
Description: long non-coding RNA (NTAB_LNC002039)
Source: RNAcentral
AUAUAGUGACUUUAAUGCAUUUGAGUGAAGCAAAAAUGACAACAUCACAAAUCUUUGUCCUUAUGACUUUCAUGGUCUUCGCCUUUGCAUCACUAGGUGGGUAUUUUCUUUUAAUUGAAUUAGCAAAAGUUAGUACUAAAUUUAUAAUAUCAAAGCUCAUUUAUUUUUCUAAUCAAUGAAAAUAAUUAAUUAUGCCUGUAAACAUUUUUAAUUUCUACCAAAUUAGUGACGAUACUUCUCAUCAUGUUCUUUAAUUAAACUUAUAAUGUCAAACAUUUUUAGUGAUUAUGAUCAUUCAUUAAAAUUCAUUAUCCAGUGGAUUGUUUAAAACUAUUUUUUAAAAAAAAUAUUUAUUUAGAGGUGUUAGUGGUUUUCUUGUAACUUCUUGAAUUCAUCAAGCGAAAUACAUUUGUGAAUAAAUUGAAAAAUAUGAAGUAAACAAAAGAAUCUUCAUUUUGUUUGAUUUUAAUCGUUUUUGUUAAUGAAUCAUCAACUCUUAAUUUAAAUAUUUUUACUCAUGCAGAGUUGACAACUUGGCAUUGUUGGCUUUCUGUUCACGAAAAAUGACGAUGAUUGUCAAGUUCAGUGUAACAAAUAUCAUGACCGUGCAGCUUCCGUUAAAAGUCAAUGUGAAGCUCAAAUGAGUGUAUGUAGUUGUCAAACUUGUUCGUACUAACAAUAUAAUAAUUUAUUGUACUGUUAGUAUAUAAGUUAACCAGUUAAUUACAAUUUGUUAUUACUUUAUUUUCGAUGUUAUUGUAUUUAGAAAGCUUAGUAUAAGAAUUAUAUGUUAUCAUAAGUAGACUUAACUUAAUAGUGUGAUAAUCAAAGAGAAAAAUUAGAAUAAAAUAUGAUUUUUGUCGUCUUUCAUAAACCUUACAAUACCAAAGAAGAUUUAUUUUCAUACACUAAAUUUUUAUCCACUAAAUUUCUCCAUCUCAUAAUAAUAAAACAUUAUAUGUUGCAUUGUGACGAUCUCAAUUUACAUCUGACCGCACCUAGUCUUUAAGAAUAGGUAAGCUUAACAAAUAUGCGGAAGUAAAUGAAACAGUAAUUUAAAAAUAUCAAAACUCAACAACAUAUAAAAUUCUCUACAGCUCAAGGUGUAUACAAUAGCCCAAAACCCGACAUAAUACAAGUCGCAAGCUCUAUGACAAUAGCUAAAUAUUAAAAACAUUAAUUUUAUCCAAUGUAAAAUUUAUUUUAUAUGAUAAAAAGUUCGACCAAUUUUGCGUUAAAGUUUCGUGCUUUUAUAAUAGUCUGUAUUGAUUGAGAAGAGAAAAUUAAGAGAAACAUUAUUUUCCUACAUAUUUAGUAGUUUUUAGUUUUAUUUUCACAUUAUUUACCGCGUAAUUAUUAUAAAUGAAUAUACUUUGUUGCAAAUACUAAGUGAUUCUUCUAAAAAAUUACUCAUUGAUGUAAAAAAAUUAUUUUGUUCAUCAUGAUAAAGUACCAAUAGGAUGUUAUUUUCCAAUUUCCAUAUAAAAAUCACUUUAAGGUCAUUGCAUUUCAUAACAAAAAUUGAUUUUAUACAUAUAUAUAUAGAGAAGAAAGUAAGAUAAACAAGAACACUAAGUCUAAGGUUGUGGUUCCAGUAGUAGAAGGCACGAAAUUAUAUUGUCAUUGUUUGAUCCAUCAUCAUAUUUUUCACCAAACUUCUCCUCAAUUUCGAGGAGAAAAUGGAACAUGUAAUUCAUCAUCACAUUCUGACAUUUUAUUCGUGCAAUUUUGCUCAAAAGCGAUUCGUUGGUCUGAGACCCUGGUAUUUUCGAAUAAUGGGGAGCAUCCCGUUGUGCUGCUGGUAGCAAUGCUAUGAAUUUGAUCAGUCUUAUCCUCCACAGAGUCCAAUGAUGUGGUCGCUAAUAAUCUUUCUGGAUUAACAACUGAACCUUCGAUUCUGGUUUUCAUCUUGUGUCGCCAUCCAUGUAGCGAAUUCCUAACAUUCUCUAAAACAAUUGUCUUCUUGAAUCUGGAAUCCAUCUACUCGAUCAUCGUUGACUCAAGGAAUAGUGCAAAAGGAUAUAUAACCAAGUACAAAAGAAAGAGAUUACAUAGUGUUUUUUAGUUACCUAAGCAAAAAUAACAUUGAGUGGAAAUGUGACAAAGCUACACCAGAAUUGAGAAAUAACCCUACAGCGACAGGUUAACACGGGCCAUGCCACAAUGAGUGUAUUCAGCAACAAGGUAACAAGUAAGUGAGACAAAGAUAGGUACCCAAAUGACAAGAGAAUCACGAUAAAGGUUUGAUUUUUUGUGAAACAUGAUGAUCCCUUAAUUUUCCACUGCACUAGAAAAGGAAAUCAGGGUUAGCUCCUAUGGAGAGAAUUUUGUAUCCCUGCAAAAGAAAAUUACCGCUUUUUCCUUUUCUAAGUAUUAGGUGAAAAUAUAAAACAAACACAAACCACAUAUGAAACCUCUGCCUUUCUCUCUGUCAUAUUGUCUGACCCAAAACUCAAUAUAACUUUUUAGUUUGCUUUAAGAGUUAAAAAGUUAAAUAAAUAUUCUUUAGACUUGUAGAAGUUAUGUAGAGGCUUCCAAAAGGCAAAACUAUCAAGAGUGUAAAACAAGAUAAACACAAGGCAGAAGAUAUUACUCGCUCUGAUCACACAACGAUAUGUAGUCAAUGGAGGGUCUGUGAAUAAUAAUCAGUACCCGGAACUUACAUCUAUUGGUUGCAAAAGGGAAAAUAUUCCUAAUAAUUGUCUGCAGUAUCCCAACUAGGAAUAACGUUUCCUCAUAAGCAACUCUACUUCUUCCCAUUGACAAUAAGACAAAAUUGUUUUAAUUUAGUGUAAGCAACUCUACCUCAAUAAGAAAACUAAGUUCCUAAGUUCUUACUAGUAACCAAAUGUAUGUUGCCAUCUCAAAUGUGUUCUGUAUAUGAUUCAUACAGAAGAGCAAUCAAUAAGUCAUAUAUGAGGUAGCUAUAUCAUUGACCUAAAUUUAAUUAGAUGUAACGACCCGACCGAUCAUUUCAUGAGUUAUCGCUCUAUUUCUCCCAUUUCUCAUUCUUAUUGUCUUGUUCAGCUGUAUUAUGUGCUAGGGUUGGUUGGUUCGGGUUCGGAGAGGUUUUGGUAAGGUUUGAGACACUUAGUCUCUUUUAAGAAAGCUUAAGUUGGAAAUGUCAAUCGGAUGUUGACUUAUAUAAAAAAGGGCUCGGAUGUAAAUUUUGAUGGUUCAGAUACCUUCGAUUGGUGAUUUGGGACGUAGGAGCAUGAUCAGAAUGUGUUUUGGAGGUCCGGAGUAGAUUUAGGCUUGAAUUGGCGAAAUUGGAAUUUUUGCAUUUUCCGGUUGAUAGGUAAGAUUUUGAUAUAGGGGUGGGAAUGGAAUUCUGGAAGUUGGAGUAGGUCCUUUCCGUAAUUUUUGACGCGUGUGCAAAAUAUUAUGUCAUUCGGACGAGGGUUGAUAGACUUUUUGAUAGAAAGCGGAAUUUGGAAACGUUUUUGGAAUUUUUAGGCUUGAAUCCGAUGUCAAAUUGGUAUUUUGAUGUUUUUUUAGUGUUCCGGAGAUUGGAACAAGUUGUAAUGAUGUUAUGGGAUAUGUUGGUAUAUUUGGUUGGGGUCCCGAGGGCCUCGGGUGAGUUUCGGGUGGCUGAAAGGAUCAUUUCAUGUUGGAAAAAGUUGCAGAAAAACUGUUGUUGGUGUGGAAGGCUUUUGGCCUUCACGUUCACAAUGGAUGUCCCGUGUUCGCGAAGGGUUAGGAUGCGAGGCAGUAGAGUUGGCCUUCGCAUUCGCAAAGGUGGUCCCGCAUUCGCGAAGGGCUAAGGUUAGUGGUCAUCCCAUUCGCGAGGGUAUUGCCGCGUUAACGAUGAGUUGAGAAGCUAAGGCUUCGUGUUCGCGUGCAUAGGUCGCAUUCGCGAUGAAGGAAAGGUGGUCAACAUAAGUUUUUUCUUCAUGAACGCGAGGCGUUGACCGCGUUCGCAAAGAAGGAUCGUGAUGUAACGACCCGACUUGUCGUUUUGUCUUUUAGAACCUCGUUCCCUUGUAUAAAUCUUCUCGUGCUUGCUUUGACUAAUUUAUGAAGUAUGGGGAUGGUGGGUUCGGGAUUUGGAAGAGUUUGGAGUGAAAUAUGCCUAUUUGAUUCCUUAGGAUUUUCUUAAAAGGCUAUUUGACUUUGGUUAAUAUUUUAAGCAAACAGGCCCAGAUUUGUGAUUUGACGGUCCCGGAGAGUCCGUAGGAAAUUAUGGGAUCUCGGCUUAUGCUCGGAAUCGAAUUCCGAGGUCUCUAGCCCGAGUAAUGAAUUUUUAUUGGAAAUUGUUAAUCUGAAGUUUUAAAUAUUUAAAGAAACUAACUAAUGAUUGAUUCCAUGGGUAUCGGGCUCGUAUGUUGGUUCUAAAGUGCAUUAGAGGUCUGAUAUAUCAUUUAAGGCUCGCCCGUAAAAUUUGGUGUCAAUCCGAAUAGUUUAAGAGCAUUUGGCCCAUUAGAGGAAAAUUAAGAAUUUGAAGUUCAUAAGUUUGAUUCAAUUGGUUUUAGGGGGUGAUUAAGUUUGAUUCAUAAGUUCAUAACUAAUUAAGUUCACUCCUCCAUUGGCGAUUUUGGGAGCUUUUGCAAGAGGGCUUCUACUUGGCAUCUUGAGGUAAGCUUACGCCACCUAUUCUUAGUUUAACACUUGUAUUUUAGGUAGAUUAAGCACUAGGGUUAAAGUAAAAUAUGAGGUUAGAGCGAGACCUAGGGUUUUAAUAAAACUUAGAUUUUACUACGAAAUUUGUUAUGGAAUGAAUUAGAAAUCAUAUAUUACCGAAUCUUAGGUUAUAGAGAACAACUUCCUUCGAAAAAUUUCGGAAUCCAGGCACGUAGGCCCGGGCUCAGAUUUUAGGAAACUUGUGUUAAAGGUUGGAAAAUUGCUUAAAUAGCUAGAAUUCAAUCUUGUGAGUCUAUAUUGACUAGUUCUUACUUUAUUUAACUAGUUUGAGAUCGUUCGACUCCGAAUUGAGGGCUUGGACUCGUUCUUGGUAUUGGAAGUGCACUUUGGAGCGAGGUGAGUCUCUUUACUAACCUUGUAAGAGGGAAUUGUCCCCAUAGGUGUAAUAAUUGAAUUAAUUGGUAUUAUAUGCGGGGGCUACGUACGCACUAGGUGACGAAAGUCUAUGCGUAGCUACUAUUAUGUUAAGUCUGAGUAGUCUAAGACCCAAAAGCAUGCUCUACGUGGUAGUCUUGUAACUUGAUGAUAAAUUUGGAUUAGUAUAAAUCAUGUUGAUUAAGGAAUAUAAGAGUAUUAGAGGAACCUUAUCUUGCUUGGUCUUUUAAAAGAGGAUUUGAAUAUUCCUGUGAACAACUACUCCUCAGAUAUACAUUAUUGUCUGUUUGUUGAUGAGUUAUUUAUAUUUGACCGUGUUGCACGUGUGAUUCGCGAUCGGGGUAAUAAAUGCAUCUAUGGUUCGAGCCGUUCGACCCUUAGCAGUGCACAAUUUACAUUUAUGUUGGAUCGGGCUGUACGUCCCUCGAUGUUGCUUGCACAUGCUUUACUUAGUAUUUCUCUGUGGACUGAACUUCAUAUAUGCCUUGAAACGUAAAUGGAUACCCAUGAUAUUAUAUGGAAAAGAAUUGUCAUUCCUUUCCAUACAAUGCUAAUAAAAUUGAGCUAUCCAUGCUUAUUACAGAUUCUUUCUCAUAUUAUUUGACCCUAGUAAGUAUCAAGUCGACCUCUCGUCUCUACUUCUUCGAGAUUAGAUGGGAUACUUACUGGGUACAUAUUGUUUAUGUACUCAUACUACACUUUUGUACUUAAUUGUACAGGAUCUGAGACAGGUGUAUCUGGCUAUCAGUCUAGUGCGCAUCCCUUAGCGGAUUUUGAGACUUCCAGGGUGAGCUGCUCCCUUUCUGUGCCGUUCAGCAGCUUGAUGGGGUCUUUCCUUACUUUUGCUGUCUAUUCUAUACCGGACAGUAGGAUAGUAUUAUUCUUUUGUACAUUCUACUAGUUGCCCACUACUCGUGAUACCAGGUCUUGGCACACACAUUAGUAGACAGUUCUUUUGGGUUGUAUAAUUAUUAUUACAUAUUGUUUAUAAUCACCUAUUUUCAAUUGAAAAUUAAAAAAUGUUGUAACCACUUCGGGUAAGUAAAAUAUGAAUUUACUAAUACUUCCGCAUUGGCUUGCCUGACAACGGUGUUGGCCGCCAUCACGACCCCUGGUGGAUUUUGGGUUGUGACAAUGUGGUAUCAGGGCACUAGGUUAAUGUAGGUCUCACAAGUCAUGGACAAACCUAAUAUAGUCUUGUGGAUCGGUACGGGGACGUCUGUAUUUAUCUUCGAGAGGCUAUAGGGUAUUAAGAAAACUACUCUUUAUUAAUUUCCUAUAGUGCAGUGGUUGGUGUGCUAAAUUUCCCUGUUUAUUCUCUCACAGAUGGUGAGUACAAGCACAACUAAUAUUCCAGACCCAGCGGAGCUGCUUCCCCUAUUGCUAGAGGCCGAGGUAUAGGCUGGGGGAGGGCACUGACCCGAGGUAGGGGACGAGGGCGUCCCAGAGUUAUCCUAGUAGUAGAACCAGCAGAUCCCGCGAGAGAUCCUAUCAUCAAGGAACAGGGCGAGGUUCCCGCAGCUGAGCCCACCCCAGCGGACUUUAUCACAGCGCCAGGAUUCUAGGAGGUCAUGGGCCGUAUACUGUAGUUCAUGGAUUCUAUGACUUACGCUGGUUUAUUUCCAGCAGAUCCAGCUACAUCACAGGCAAGAGGGGGAGCACAGGCCCCUACUUCUCAGGCUCCUGGACAUGAAGCUGCAGUGUAUCAAACUCCGGGUGCACUACCUGUAGAUGAGGCUCCGCCAGUUGCUGCAGCGGCACCCUAGCCCAGACCAGCUGUGGAUUGUGAUCCGCAGAAGUUGUUGGAUAGUUGGACUAGGCUUCACCCUCCUGUCUUCAGGGGCGAGCGUCAUGAGGAUGCACAAUACUUCAUAGAUAGGUACAAGGACAAACUGCACAAUAUGAGGAUGUUGGAGUCGCACAGAGUUGACUUCACUACUUUUCAGCUUGAGGGCAGGGCCUGUAAAUGGUGGCAGUACUAUGUUCUAGGUAGGCCAACAGGUUCUCCUCCCAUCACUUGGGGUCAGUUCGCACAGUUGUUCUUGUAUAGGUACAUUCCACCCUCUAAUAGGGAAGAGCUACGAUAUUAUUUUAGGCAUCUGGAGCAGGGUUUGAUGUCUGUGACCGAUUAUGAGGUGAGGUUUUCUGAGUUGUCUUGCCAUGCACUCAUGAUACUUCCCACAGAUACAGAGAGAGUGCGGAGAUUUGUUGCCAGGUUGCACCCCAGUAUUCGAGCUGGCAUGGCCCGAGAGGUGGAGAUGGGUACUGAGUAUCAACUAGUGGUAGAGAUUGCUCGCAGGAUUGAGGGGUAGAGAGCAGAUUUAGCAGGACAAGAGGGCCUGAUUUUCAGGAGAGUUCGGAGGCGCCCCAGAUCGGGGUAGAGGUCACUUUGGGAGGGGUCAGCCCAGUAGACCCCCAUAUUUAGCACCGCCACCCCCUCCCCGAGGUGCUCCAGUGAGGCCUUAUUUCAGUGCGAUGCCGUAGAGUUCAUAUCGACCACCAGUUAUUCAGGGUUCCUCUAGCGGGUAUUCUGGUCAUCAGGAUUCUUCCAGGGCUCACUUCAGUGUCGUGCCAGAGAGUUCAUAUCGCCCACCAGCCAUCAAAGGUCCCUCUAGUGGGUAUUCGGGUCAGCAGGCUCAGACUUCAGGGCAGCAGGCUAUGGUACCGAGAGCGUGCUACGAGUGUGGAGAUCCGGGUCACAUGAAGAGGACCUGCCCCAGACUUCGGGGCAAGGCAGUGCAGCAGUGUCAGUAACCUAUGAUUUAAGCACUGGCUGCCCCACCACCUAGGGGUGGAGGGCAGAUGGGUAAGGGCCGUCCUACAGGUGGAGGCCAGGUAGGGAGAGGUCAGCCAACUACUGCUCAGUCCGGUGGAGGCCAGCCAGCCGACGCUCCAGCCAGAUUAUAUGCCCUUCUGACCAGGCCAGAUGCAUUGGCCUCAGAUGCAAUCAUCACAGGUAUUAUUUUCGUUGUCGGUAGAGAUGCUUCAGUAUUAUUUGAUCCAGGGUGUACUUAUUCAUAUGUAUCAUCUCUGUUUGCUCGUUUCCUGGUUAUUUCUCCUGAGCCUUUAAGCACUCAUGUUCAUGUGUCUACUCAUGUAGGUGAUUCUACGAUUGUGGAUCGGAUCUACCGGUCUUAUGUGGUUACACUUUGUGGUUUCAAAACUAGAUCAGAUCUCUUGUUGCUUGAUAUAAUCGAUUUUGAGAUCAUCCUGCGCUUGGAUUGGUUCUCUCCUUAUCACGUCGUCCUAGAUUGCCAUGCCAAAACUGUUACUUUAGCGAUGCCAGAGUUACCGAGGUUGGAGUGGAAGGGUUCCACUGUUGAUACAUCUAGUCGGGUUAUUUCUUUCCUGAAGGCCCAGCUAAUGGUCGAGAAGGGGUGUUUGGCUUAUUUGGCUUAUGUUUGAGACACCACCGUAGAGUCUCCGACGAUUGAUUCAGUUCCAGUAGUUCAAGAGUUUGUUGAUGUGUUUCCUUUUGAUCUACCUAGAAUGCCACCAGAUCAUGAUAUUUAUUUCUGCAUUGAUUUGGCUCCAGGCACCCAGCCUGUAUCUAUCCCACCAUACCGUACAGCUCCGAAAUAGUUGAAAGAGUUGAAGGAGCAUCUUGGGGAGUUGUUAGCAAAGGGGUUUGUCAUACCCAAUGUAUCCCCUUAGGGUCCACCAAUGUUAUUUUUGAAGAAGAAGGAUGGAAUUAUGCGGAUGUGCAUUGAUUAUCGCCAUUUGAACAAAGUCACCAUCAAGAACAAGUAUCUGUUGCCUCAUAUUGAUGAUUUGUUCGACCAGUUGCAGGGUGCUAGGGUGUUAUCAAAGAUUGACUUGAGGUCAGGGUAUCAUCAGUUGAAGAUUUAGGACUCGAAUGUUCCGAAGACUGCAUGCCAUACUAGAUAUGACCACUUUGAGUUCCUGGUGAUGUCCUUUGGCUUGACUAAUGCCCCAACAGCAUGCAUGGACUUGAUGAGCAGGGUAUUCAGGCCUUAUAUUGAUUCAUUUGUCGUCGUCUUCAUUGACGACAUCUUGAUAUACUCUCAUAGCCUAGGGGAGCACGAGCAGCAUUUGAGGGUAGUGCUUCAGACCUUGCGAGAGCAAAAGCUAUAUGCUAAGUUCUCCAAGUGUGAGUUCUGGCUAGAGUGAGUGGCAUUCUUGGGUCAUAUUGUGUUAGGAGAGGGUAUUAAGGUGGACCCCAAGAAGAUUAAGGCAGUUCAGAGUUGGCCACGUUCUACUCCGGUGACCGAGAUUAGGAGUUUUCUGGGGUUAACAAGUUACUACAGACGAUUCGUGUAGGGCUUUUCAUCUAUUGAAUCACCUCUGACUAGAUUGACCCAUAAGGGUGCUCCUUUCCAAUGGUCCGAUGAUUGUGAGGUGAGCUUUCAGAAGCUCAAGGCAGCCUUGACUACAACACCAUUCCUAGUAUUGCCUUCCGAUUCAGGGAUGUAUACGAUAUAUUGCGAUGCUUCUUGUGUUGGAUUGGGGUGUGUAUUGAUGUAGGAGGGGCGAGUUAUUGCAUAUGCCUCACGCCAGCUGAAGGUUCAUGAAAAGAAUUACCAUGUGCACGAUCUAGAGUUGGCCGCGAUUGUUCAUGCUCAUAAGAUAUAGAGGCAUUAUCUAUAUGGGGUGUCAUGUGAGAUUUAUACAGAUCAUUGCAUCUUACAACAUUUGUUCAAACAUAGGGAUCUUAAUUUGAGGCAGGGUAGGUGGCUUGAGUUACUGAAGGAUUAUGACAUCACCAUUCUUUAUCAUCCAGGCAAGGCUAAUGUGGUCGCGAAUGCCUUAAGCUGGAAGGAAGAGAGUAUGGGUAGCUUGGCAUUCAUUCCAGCGGAAGAGAGGACACUAGCCUAGGACAUUCAUUCCUUGGUUAACAGACUUGUGAGAUUGGAUAUUUCAGAGCAAAGCCGAGUUCUUACGUGUAUGGUUGCUCAGUAUUCAUUAUUGGGGCAGAUCAAGGCCCGGCAGUUCGAUGAUCCACAUUUGGUGGUUCUCAGAAAGACGGUGCUUUAGGAAGGUGCCAAGGAGGUUUCUAUUAGUGAGGAUGGUGUUUUGCGACUCCAGGGUCGUCUAUGUGUUCCUAAUGUCGAUGGUUUGAGGGAGAGGAUUCUAGAAGAGGCACACAGUUUGCGGUAUACCAUCCAUUCGGGAGCUACAAAGAUGUAUCGUGACUUGAGACAAUAUUAUGGGUGGCGGAGGAUGAAGAAGGACAUAGUGGAGUAUGUGGCUAGGUGUCUGAAUUGCUAGCAGGUCAAGUAUGAAUACCAGAGGCCGGGUGUCCUACUUCAGCAGAUGCCUAUACCAAAGUGGAGUGGGAGAGCAUUACCAUGGAUUUCGUAGUUGGGUUACUGCAAACUUUGCGGAAGUUUGAUUCAGUGUGAGUCAUUGUCGACAGAUUGACCAAGUCGGCAUACUUAUACCGGUGGUGACUACUUAUACUUUGGAGAGACUAGCUCAGAUUUACAUUUGAGAGAUAGUCCGGUUGCACGGUGUGCCUGUUUCUAUCAUAUCAGAUAAAGACCCUCAGUUCACUUCGCAUUUUUGGAGAGCUGUUCAGCGUGAGCUGGGGACCCGCAUGGAGCUUAGCACGACAUUUCAUCCAAGGACCGACGGGCAGUUGGAGCGGAUAUUUCAGAUUUUUGAGGACAUACUCAGAGCAUAUGUGAUUGACUUUGGAGGGCAGUGGGAUCAGUUCUUGCCCUUGGCGGAGUUUGCAUACAAAAACAUCUAUCAGUCCAUCAUAGAGAUAGCUCCAUACGAGGCUUUAUAUGGUCAAUGUUGUCGUUCUCCUAUCGGGUGGUUUGAUCCUGGUGAGGCUAAUUUAUACGGUACAGAUUUCGUAUGGGAUGCCUUAGACAAGGUAAAGUUGAUUCAGGAAAGGUUUCGCAUAGCUCAGUUCAGAUGGAAGAGCUACGCGGAUCAGAAGGCGCGUGAUGUAUCAUUCAUGGUUGGCGAGAAGGUCCUCUUGAAAGUCUCGCCAAUGAAGGGCAUUAUGAGAUUUGGGAAGAAAGGCAAGCUGAGCCCAAGAUUUAUUGGCCCAUUUGAGGUGUUGAGGCGAGUUGGGGAGGUUGCUCACGAGCUUGCAUUACCCCCCAGCUUAUCGGGAGUUCAUCUGACUUUUCAUGUAUCGAUGCUUCGAAAGUAUCAUGCCGACCUGUCCCAUGUGUUAGACUUCAGUACUAUUCAGUCGGAUGAGAGUUUGGGUUAUCAGGCGGAGCUAGUUGCAAUUACUGAUAGACAGGAUCGCAGUUGAGGUCCAAGAGGAUUUCUGCGGUGAGAGUCCAGUGGAGGGGCCAACCAGUCGAGGAGGCGACCUGGGAGUUCGAGGAGGACAUGCGGAGCAGAUAUCCACAUUUAUUCAGCAGCUCAGGUACUUUUUUAUGUUCGUUCGAGGACAUACGUUUGUUUAAGAGGUGGAGAGUGUAACGACCCGAUAGGUCGUUUUGCCUUUUAGAACCUCGUUCCCUUGAAUAAAACUUUUCGUGCUUGCUUUAACUAAUUUAGGACUUGCGGAGAUGGUGGGUUCAGGAUUUGGAAGAGUUUGGAGUGAAAUAUGCCCAUUUGAUUCCUUAGGAUUUUCUUAAAAGGCUAAGUUUGACUUUGGUCAAUAUUUUGAGCAAACGGAUCCUGAUUCAUGAUUUGACGGUCCCGGAGGGUUGUAGGAAAAUAUGGGACCUAGGCAUAUGUUCGGAAUCGAAUUCUGAGGUCUCUAGCCCGAGUAAUAAAUUUUUAUUAGAAAUUGUUAAUCUGAAGUUUUAAAUAUUUAAAGAAACUAAUUAAUGAUUGAUUCCAGGGGUAUCCGGCUCGUAUGUUGGUUCUGAAGCCCGCUAUAGGUCUGAUAUAUCAUUUAAGGAUCGCCCAUAAAAUUUGGUGUCAAUCCGAGUAGUUUAAGGGCGUUUUGGCCCGUUAGAGGAAAAUUAAGAACUUGAAGUUCAUAAGUUUGAUUCAAUUGGUUUUAGGGGUGAUUCUUAGAUUUAGCGUUGUUUCAGGCAUUCCGAAGGUUCGAGUAGGUUUGUUUCGUGAUUUCAGACUUGACGUUAUUUUCGGGCGGUGCCCGGGAGCCCCGAGCGUCAAUCGGGCGAGGCUCGAGUGAAGUAGAAAUUUUUGAGAAGUGUUGAAGUUGUUGCUUCUGUCAUAACCGCACCUGCGGUUGGUGGACCGCAGAUGCGGUCUAUCUAUCGCAGAUGCGGCCCAAGGAAGGUCAGGACAAACUGCAGAAGCGGCUCUUGAACCGCAAAAGCGACCUCAAGACCGCAAAGUGGUCCCAGCCCUUUUAGCCCCUUUUUGUAGAUGUGGUCCCUUCUUACAGAUGCGGGACCGCAGAUGCGGUCCUCUGACCGCAGAUGUAGGAAUUGCUGAAGCAGUGAGGUUCAUUUAAUACGGGUUCUAAGUCAUUUUCGACACUUUUUACUCCUCCAUUGGCGAUUUUGGGAGCUUUUGGAAGAGGGUUUGUGUUUGACACUUGUGUUUUAGGUAGAUUAAAUACUAGGGUUAAGAUAAAAUCAUGGGGUUAGAGCUAGACCUAGGGUUUUAAUAAAACUUAGAUUUUACCACGAAAUUUGUUAUGGACUGAAUUAGAAAUCAUAUAUUAUUGAUCUUUAGGUUAUAGAGAAUAACUUCCUUCGAAAAAUUUCGGAAUCCGGGUACGUGGGCCCGGUGUCAGAUUUUAGGAACCUUGUGAUAAAGGUUGGGAAAUUGCUUAAAUAGCUAGAAUUCAAUCUUGUGAGUCUAUAUUGACUAAUUCCUACCUCAUUUAACUAGUUUGGGAUUGUUCGAAUCUGAAUUAAGAGCUUGGACUCGUUCUUGGUAUUGGAAGUACACUUUGGAGCGAGGUGUGUCUCCUUUCUAACCUUGUAAGAGGGAAUUGUCCCCAUAGGUGUAAUAAUUGAAUUAAUUGCUAUUAUAUGCGGGGGCUACGUACGCACUAGGUAACGAGAGUCCGUGCAUAGCUACUAUUAUAUUAAGUCUGGGUAGUCUAGGACCCAAAAGCAUGAUCUACGUGGUAUUCUUGUAACUUGAUGAUAAAUUUGGAUUCAUAUAAAUCAUGUUGAUUAAGGUAAAUAAGACUAGUAGAGGAACCUUACCUUACUUGGUCUUUUAAAAGAGGAUUUGAAUAUUCCUGCGAACAACUACUCCUAAGAUAUACAUUAUUAUCUGCUUGUUGAUGAGUUAUUUAUAUUUGACCGCGUCGCACGUGUGAUUGGCGAGCGGGGUAAUAGAUGCAUCUAUGGUUUGAUCCAUUUGAUCCUCGAUAGUGCACAAUUUACUUUUAUGUUGGGUCGGGCCGUACGUCCCUCGGUGUUGCUUGCACAUGCUUUACUUAGUAUUUAUCUAUGGACUGAACUUCAUAUAUGCCUUGAAACGUAAAUGGAUAACCAUGAUAUUAUUUGGAAAAAUAAUUGUUAUUCCUUGCCAUACAAUGCUAAUAAAUUGUAUUAUUCAUGCUUAUUACAGAUUCUUUCUCAUAUUAAUUGACCCUAGUAAGUAUCAAGUCGACCUCUCAUCUCUACUUCUUCAAGAUUAGACGGGAUACUUACUGGGUACAUAUUAUUUAUGUACUCAUACUACACUUCUAUACUUAAUUGUACAGGAUUUGAGACAGGUAUAUCUGGCUAUCAGUCUAGUGCGCAUCCCUGAGCGGAUUUCGAGAGUUCCACGGUGAGCUGCUCCCUUCCUGUGUCGUUCAGUAGCUUGAUGGGGUCUUUCAUUACUUUUGUUGUCUAUUCUAUCUCGGACAGUAGGAUAGUAUUAGUCUUUUGUACAUUCUACUAGUUGCCCACUACUUGUGACACCAGGUCUUGGCACACACAUUAGUAGACAGUUCUUUUGGGUUGUAUAAUUAUUAUUACAUAUUGCUUAUCAUCACCUGCUUUCAAUUGCAAAAUGUUGUAACCGCUUCGGGUAAGUAAAAUAAGAAUUUACUAAUACUUCCGCGUUGGCUUGCCUGACAAUAGUGUUGGGCGCCAUCACGACCCUUGGUGGAUUUUGGGUCGUGAUACGUGUAUAGCUGGGCCGAAUGAUUAAAAUACCAUAUCCGCAAUUUUGGGACUAUGUUUCACCAUUGUUGAGAGAUUUUGGAGCUUUUUGAAAGAGAUUGAAGAGCGAAUCAAGGGGAAACACUUGGAGGUAAGAUUUAUGGACUUAAUACUCGAUCCUAAUGUGAUUUCUACCUAAUUAAACAUGGGAAUUGUGGAAUCUAAAGCCUAAAAUUAGAAGAUAGGGCUUGAAAAUUGGAGACCUAAAUCUAGGAAUUUGAUGGGUCAUUUGUGGUCGGAUUUUGAUGUAUUUGAUAUGUAUGAACUCGUGAGAGUGUAAGGAUUAUAGUUUUGUGAUUUUUAUCGGAAUCGGAGGCGUGGGGUCGGGGGUCGGGUUUGGCCAAUUUCGAGAUUUUUGAUGUAAAUUCGUUAUUCUCGAGUGAGCUUUGUUCCCUUAGUAUAUUUUGAUGGUAUAAAACUAUUUUUGAUUAGAUUUGGAGUAUUCGGAGGCCGAUUCGAGAGGCAAAAGAAUCGCGGGCUAGAGUUUGGACCAGAUAGAGGUAAGUAAUGAUUGUAAAUGCUGUCCUGAGAGUAUGAAACCCCGAAUUUUACAUCGUUGUGAUACUUUGAUCGGAAUGUGUUUUCCCCGUUGCAUUGCUUGAAAAAAUUUGCAUGUCAUUUGUAAAUUUUAUUUUCAAAAUUAAACUCAUUCUUUAUGUUUGAUAUAUCGUUUUAAUAUCAAAAUUUGAAAAAAUCAGAAACAGAAAAAGUGAAAAAAGAAAAGGAUGAUCAAGACAAGUCUUCUACUAUUAUGAAGGCGUUACGUAAUAUAAUUAAGAUAAAAUUCCUUAGAUAUAUUAUCAUAUGUAAGUGGUUUUUAUUAUUUCAUGGUGGCUUCUCGAUAUAUAGAAAUUUAUAAAAUAUAUUUUUAAUUUAUACUGGAUGAUAAAUUUUGAUUAUUCAAAUCAUCAUGUAAACANNNNNNNNNNNNNNNNNNNNNNNNNNNNNNNNNNNNNNNNNNNNNNNNNNNNNNNNNNNNNNNNNNNNNNNNNNNNNNNNNNNNNNNNNNNNNNNNNNNNNNNNNNNNNNNNNNNNNNNNNNNNNNNNNNNNNNNNNNNNNNNNNNNNNNNNNNNNNNNNNNNNNNNNNNNNNNNNNNNNNNNNNNNNNNNNNNNNNNNNNNNNNNNNNNNNNNNNNNNNNNNNNNNNNNNNNNNNNNNNNNNNNNNNNNNNNNNNNNNNNNNNNNNNNNNNNNNNNNNNNNNNNNNNNNNNNNNNNNNNNNNNNNNNNNNNNNNNNNNNNNNNNNNNNNNNNNNNNNNNNNNNNNNNNNNNNNNNNNNNNNNNNNNNNNNNNNNNNNNNNNNNNNNNNNNNNNNNNNNNNNNNNNNNNNNNNNNNNNNNNNNNNNNNNNNNNNNNNNNNNNNNNNNNNNNNNNNNNNNNNNNNNNNNNNNNNNNNNNNNNNNNNNNNNNNNNNNNNNNNNNNNNNNNNNNNNNNAUCAAAUAUUUUUAACAUUGUUUUCUUUCCAAAUGGAAUAAAAUAACUCUUUUGAAUGAAAGGAAAUAUUGCAAAGGCACAACACCGGAACUCUCGUUGGAAAAAUAGUAUUGCUUUCACAUUCUUUAUAUGAAAAAAUUAUAUGGUUUAGCUAACUUAUAUAUUGUAUUUAUCAUUAAUAGCUAUACUUUUAAAAAAUUCCUAUGCAUAGCGAUAUUUGAAUGUUAUAGCAAAAUUACUUGUAGUACUGAAACAAGAGAUCAAUUAUUUUGAACUGAACGCUAACAACAUAAGCUCUCGUAAAUCAGUUGGAUAGAACACCCGUUUAGUAAGAGGGAGGUGUUGAGGUUGACUCUCAUCGUGAGCAUUUUGUUUCUUAAUUUUUUUGUAUUUCUGUAUUUUGCCUUGGUUGUACGCAUUGCAGAAUACAGGUUAUAUUUGUUGCGCUAAAUAUUAAUUAGGCAAACUAUAGUUACGUAUGGUAAUGAAACUCUAAAGUAUAGUGUUUUGUGAAAAUUCCUUUAUUAUCAUCAUAGUUCUUUAUUGUUCGAGUGACAUCAAAUAAAAAAGAAACUGAAGAUUAAUUAGAAGAAUUUAAUGCUUAGAAUUUAAUUUUGCAAGUAACGGGUUCAUGGGAAAAACGCAUGAAACAGUUGCUAUAAAAAUAUUCAGAAACAUACUACUUCUUUAAUCCCCCUUAUUCAUAUAGUGACUUUAAUGCAUUUGAGUGAAGCAAAAAUGACAUCAUCACAAAUCUUUGUCCUUAUGACUUUUAUGGUCUUCGCCUUUGCAUCACUAGGUGGGUAUUUUCUUUUAAUUGAAUUAGCAAAAGUUAGUACUAAAUUUAUAAUAUCAAACUUAUUUAUUUUUCUAAUCAAUAAAAAUAAUUAAUUAUGCCUGUAAACAUUUUUAAUUUCUACCAAAUUAAUGACGAUACUUCUCAGCAUGUUCUUUAAUUAAACUUAUAAUGUCAAACAUUUUUAAUGAUUAUGAUCAUUCGCUAAAAUUCAUUAUCCAAUGGAUUGUUUAAAACUAUUUUUUAAAAACAAAGUAUUUAGAGGAGUUAGUGGUUUUCAUGUAACUUCUUGAAUUCAUUAAGCGAAUUAUAUUUGUGAAUAAAUUGAAAAAUAUGAAGUAAACAAAAGAAUCUUCAUUUUGUUUGAUUUUAAUAGUUUUUGUUAAUGAAUCAUCAACUCUUAAUUUAAAUAUUUUAACUCAUGCAGAGUUGACAGUUGGGCAAUGUUGGCUUUUUGUUCAUGAAGAUUGGGGAUCCUGUACAAGUGACGACGAUUGUCAGGUUCAGUGUAACAAAUAUCAUGACCGUGCUGCUUCUGUUAAAGGUCAAUGUGAAGCUCAAAUGAGCGUAUGUAGUUGUCAAGCUUGUUCGUACUAACAAUAUAAUAAUUUAUUGUACUGUUGGUAUAUAAGUUAACCAGUUAAUUACAAUUUAUUAUUACUUUAUUUUCGAUGUUAUUGUAUUUAAAAUGCUUAUUAUAAAAAUCACAUGUUAUCAUAAGUAGACUUAACUUAAUAGUGUGAUAAUCAAAGAGAUAAAUAGAAUAAAAUAUGAUUUUUGUCGUAUUUCAUAAACCUUACAAUACAAGGAAGAUUUAUUUUCAUACACUAAAUUUUUAUCCAUUAAAUUUCUCCAUCUCAUAAUAAUAAAACAUUAUAUGUUGCAUUGUGACGAUCUCAAUUUCCCUCUGAUUGCACCUAAUCUAUAAGACUAAGUAAGCUUAACAAAUAUGCGGAAGUAAAUGAAACAGUAAUUUAAAAAUAUCAAAACUCAACAACAUAUAUAAACGGAAAAUUCUCUACAGCUCAAAGUGUAUACAAUAUCCCAAAACCCGACAUAAUACAAGUCGCAAGAUCUAUGACAAUAGCUAAAUAUUAAAAAUAUUAAGUUUAUCCAAUGUAAAAUUUAUUUUAUAUGAUAAAAAGGUCGACCAAUUAUGCAUUAUAGUUUCGUGCUUUUAUAAUAGUCUAGAUUGAUUGAGAAGAGAAAAUUAAGAGAAACGUUAUUUUCCUAUAUAUUUAGUAGUUUUUAGUUUUAGUUUCACAUUAUUUACCACGUAAUUAUUAUAAACUAAUAUACUUUGUUGCAAAUACUAAGUGAUUCUUCUAAAAAAUUACUCAUUGAUGUAAAACAAUUAUUUUGUUCAUCAUGAUAAAGUACCAAUAGGAUGUCAUUUUCCAAUUUCCAUAUAGAAAUCAAUUUAAGGUCAUUGUAUUCCGUAACAAAGAUUGAUUAUAUAUAUAUAUAUAUAUAUAUAUAUAUAGAUAGAUAGAUAGAUAGAAAGCAAAAUAAACAAGAAGACUAAGUCUAAGGUUGUGGUUUUAGUAGUAGAAGGCACGAAAUUAUAUUGUCAUUGUUUGAUCCAUCAUCAUAUUUUACACCAAACCUCUCGUCAAUUUCUAGGAGAAAAUGGAACAUGUAACUCAUCAUCACAUUCUGAGAUUUCAUUCGUGCAAUUUUACUCAAAAGCGAUUUGUUGGCCUGAGACCCUGGUAUUUUCGAAUAAUAGGGAGCAUCCCGCUGUGUUGUUGGUAGUAAUGCUAUGAAUUUGAUCUGUCUCAUACUCCACAGAGUCCAAUGAUGUGAUCGCUAAUAAUCUUUCUGGAUUAACAACUGAACCUUCGAGUCUGGUUUUCACCUUGCAUCGCCAUCCAUGUAGCGACUUCCUAAUAUUCUCUGAAAUAAUUGUCUUCUUGUAUCGGAACCCAUCUGCUCGAUCAUCGGUGAUUCAAGGAAUAGUGCAGAAGGAUAUAUAGCCAAGGACAAAAGAAAGAGAUUACAUAGUGUUUUUAGUUACUUAGGCAACAAUAACAUAGAGUGAAAAUGUGACAAAGCUACACAAGAAUUGAGAAAUAACCCUGCAUCGACAGGUUAACACGGGCCAUGCCACAAUGAGUGUAUUCAACAACAAGUUAACAAGUAAGUGAGACAAAGAUAGGUAUCCAAGUGACAAGCGGAUCACGUGAAAGGUUUGAUUUUCUGUGAAACAUGAUGAUCCUUUAAUUUCCCACUGCACUAGAAAAGGAAAUCAGGGUUAGCUCCUAUGGAGAGAAUUUUGUAUCACUGCAAAACAAAAUUGCCACUUUUGCCUUUUCUAAGUAUUAGGUGAAAAUGUAAAACAGACACAAACCACAUAUGAAAGUCUCUGCUUUGCUCUUUGUCAUAUUGUCUGACCCAAAGCUCAAUAUAACUUUGUAGUUUGCUUUAAGAGUUGAAAAGUUAAAUAAAUGUUCUUUAGACUUGUAGAAGUUAUGUAGAGGCUUCCAAAAAUCAAAACUAUAAAGAGUGUAAAACAAGAUAAACACAAGGUAGAAGAUGUUACUCGCUCUGAUCACACAACGAUAUGCAGCCAAAGGAGGGUCUGUGAAUAACAAUUAGUACUCGGAACUUACAUCUAGUGGCUACAAAAGGUAAAAUAUUCCUAAUAACUGUCAGCAGUAUCCCAACUAGGAACAACGUUUCCUUAUAAGCAACUCUACUUCUUCCUAUUGACAAUAAUACAAAAUUGUUUUAAUUUUUAAUCAGUAACUCUACCACAAUCAGAAAACUAAGUUCCCAAGUUCCUACCAGUGACCAAAUGUAUGUUGCCAUCUCAAAUGCGUUCUGCGUAUGAUUCACCCAGAAGAGCAAUCAAUAAGUCAUAUAUGAGGCAACUAUAUUAUUGACCUAAAUUUAAUUAGAUGUAACGACUCGGCCGAUUGUUUCAUGAGUUACCGCUCUAUUUCUCCCAUUUAUGAUUCUUAUUGUCUUGUUCAGUUGUAUUAUGUGCUACCUAGUUUGUUGGUUCGGGUUCGGAGAGGUUUUGGUAAGGUUUGAGACACUUACACUCUUUUAAGUAAGCUUAAGAUGGAAAUGUCAACCGGAUAUUGGCUUAUACAAAAAGGGCUCGGAUGUGAGUUCUAAUGGUUUGGAUAAAUUCGAUAGGUGAUUUGGGAUGUAGGAGCGUGAUCGGAAUGUGUUUUGGAGGUCCGGAGUAGAUUUAGGCUUGAAUUGACGAAAUUGGAAUUUUAGCAUUUUCCAGUUGAUAGGUAAGAUUUUGAUAUAGGGGUUGGAAUGGAAUUCCGGAAGUUGGAGUAGGUCCUUUGCGUCAUUUUUAACGCGUGUGCAAAAUUUUAGGUCAUUCGGAUGAGGUUUGAUAGACUUUUUCAUCGAAAGCGGAAUUUGGAAGUUUUUGGAAUUCUUAGGCUUGAAUCCGAUAUCAAAUUGGUAUUUUGAUGUUGUUUUAAGUGUUCCGAAUAUUGGAACAAGUUGUAAUGAUGUUAUGGGAUAUGUUGGCAUAUUUGUUUGAGGUCCCGAGGGCCUCGGGUGAGUUUCGGGUGGCUGAACAGAUCAUUUCAUGUUGGAAAAAGUUGCAAAAAAACUGUUGUUGGUGUGGCAGGCUUUUGGACUUCACGUUCGCAAUGGAUGUCCCGCAUUCGCGAAGGGUUGGGAUGAGAGGCAGUAGAGUUUGCCUUCGCGUUCGGGAAGGUGGUCCCGCGUACGCAAAGUGCUGAGGUUAGCAGUCAUCCCGUUCGCGAGGGUGUUGCUGCGUUCGCGAUGAGUUGAGAAGCUAAGGCUUCGCGUUCGCGUGCAUGGGUCACAUUCGCGAUAAAGGAAAAGGUGGUCAACAUAAGUUUGUUCUUAGCGAACGCGAGGCGUUGACCGCGUUCGCAAAGAAAUAUCGUGAUAUAACGACCCGACUUGUCAUUUUGCAUUUUAGAACCUCGUUCCCUUGAAUUAAACUUCCCGUGCUUGCAUUGACUAAUUUAUGACUUGCGGGGAUGGCCGGUUCAGGAUUUGGAAGAGUUUGGAGUGAAAUAUGCCCAUUUGAUUCCUUAGGAUUUUCUUAAAUGGCUAAGUUUGACUUUGGUCAAUAUUUUGAGCAAACGGGCCCUGAUUCGUGAUUUGACGGUCCCAGAGGGUCCGUAGUAAAAUAUGGGACCUGGGCGUAUGCUCGGAAUCAAAUUUCGAGGUCCCUAACCCGAGUAAUGAAUUUUUAUUAGAAAUUGUUAAUCUGAAGUUUUAAAUAUUUAAAGAAACUAAUUAAUGAUUGAUUUCAUGGGUAUCAGGAUCGUAUGUUGGUUCUAAAGCUCGGUACAGGUCCAAUAUAUCAUUUAAGGCUCGCCAGUAAAAUUUGGUGUCAAUCCGAGUAGUUUAAGGGCAUUUUGGCCCAUUAGAGAAAAAUUAAGAACUUGAAGUUCAUAAGUUGAUUCAAUUGGUUUUAGGGGGUGAUUCUUAGAUUUAGUGUUGUUUCGGGCAUUUCGACGGUUCGAGUAGGUCUGUUUCUUGAUUUCAGUCUUGACGAUAUGUUUGGGCAGGGCCCGGGAGCCCCGAGCAUCAAUCGGGCGAGGCUCGAGUUAAGUUGAAAUUUUUGAGAAGUGUUGAAGCUGCUGCUUCCGUCAUAACCGCACCUGCGGUUAGUAGACCGUAGGUGCGAGACCGCAGAUGAGGCCCUAGGAAGGCCAGGCCAAACCGUAGAAGCAGCUCUCGAACCGCAAAAGCGGCCUCAAGACCGCAGAAGCAGUCCUAGCCCUUUUAGCACCUUUUCGUAUGUGCGGGACUGCAGAUGUGGUCCCCUGACCGCAGAUGCGGGAAUCGCUGAAGCAGGGAGAUUUAUUUAAUGCAUGUUCUAAGUCAUUUUCGACACUUUUCACUCCUCCAUUGGCGAUUUUGGGAGCUUUUGCAAGAGGGCUUCUACUUGGCAUCUUGUGGUAAGCUUACGCCACCUAUUCUUAGUUUAACACUUGUGUUUUAGGUAGAUUAAACACUAGGGUUAAAGUAAAAUAUGGGGUUAGAGCGAGACCUAGGAUUAAACACUAGGUUUAAAGUAAAUCGGAAUCCCGGCACGUAAGCCUAGGCUCAAAUUUUAGGAAACUUGUGUUAAAGGUUGGGAAAUUGCUUAAAUAGCUAGAAUUCAAUAUUGUGAGUCUAUAUUGACUAGUUCCUACCUCAUUUAACUAGUUAAAGAUCGAUCGACUCCGAAUUGAGGGCUUGGACUCGUUCUUGGUAUUGGAAGUGCACUUUGGAGCGAGGUGAGUCUCCUUACUAACCUUGUAAGAGGGAAUUGUCCCCAUAGGUGUAAUAAUUGAAUUAAUUGCUAUUAUAUGUGGGGGCUACGUAUGAACUAGGUGACGAGAGUCUAUGUGUAGCUACUAUUAUGUUAAGUCCGGGUAGUGUUGGACCCAAAAGCAUGCUCUGCGUGGUAUUCUUGUAACUUGAUGAUAAAUUUGGAUUCAUCUAAAUCAUAUUGAUUAAGGUAAAUAAGACUAGUAGAGGAACCUUAUCUUGCUUGGUCUUUUAAAAGAGGAUUUGAAUAUUCCUGUGAACAACUACUCCUCAGAUAUAUAUUAUUGUCUGCUUGUUAUGAGUUAUUUAUAUUUGACCGCAUUGCACGUGUGAUUCACGAGCCGGGUAAUAGAUGCAUCUAGGGUUCGAGCCGUUCGACCCUCGGUAGUGCACAAUUUACUUUUAUGUUAGAUCGGGCCGUACGUCCUCAGUGUUGCUUGCGCAUGCUUUACUUAGUAUUUCUCUAUGGACUGAACUUUAUAUAUGCCUUGAAACGUAAAUGGAUACCCAUGAUAUAAUUUGGAAGAAGAAUUGUUAUUCCUCGCCAUACAAUGCUAAUAAAUUGUGCUAUCCAUGCUUAUAACAGAUUCUUUCUCAUAUUAAUUGACCAUAGUAAGUAUCAAGUUAACCUAUCAGCUCUACUUCUUCGAAAUUAGACGGGAUACUUACUGGGUACAUAUUGUUUAUGUACUCAUACUACACUUAUGUACUUAAUUGUACAGGAUCUGAGAUAAGUGUAUCUUGUUAUCAGUCUGGCGCGCAUCCCUGAGCGAAUUUCGAGACUUCCAAGGUGAGCUGCUCCCUUUCUGUGCCGUUCAGCAGCUUGAUAAGGUCUUUCUUUACUCUUGAUAUAUAUUCUAUCCCGGACAGUAGGAUAGAAUUAUUCUUUUGUACAUUCUACUAGUUGCCCACUACUCGUGAUACCAGGUCUUGGCACACACAUUAGUAGAUAGUUCUUUUGGGUUGUAUAAUUGUUAUUACAUAUUGCUUAUCAUCACCUAUUUUGAAUUGCACAUUAAGAAAUGCUGUAACCGUUUCGGGUAAGUAAAAUAUGAAUUUACUAAUACUUCUGCAUUGGCUUGCCUGACAACGGUGUUGGGCGCCAUCACGACCCUUGGUAGAUUUUGGGUCGUGACAACAUGGUAUCAGAGCACUAGGUUCACAUAGGUCUCACAACAUGGGCAAACCUAAUAGAGUCUUGCGGAUCAGUACAGAGACGUCUGUAUUUAUCUUCGAGAGGCUAUAGGGUGUUAGAAAAACUGCUCUUUAUUCAUUUCCUAUAGUGCAGUGGUGGUUGUGUUAAAUUUCCCUCUUCUAUUCUCUCACAGAUGGUAAGGACACGCACGACUGAUGUUUCAGACCCGGGCAGAGCUGUUUCCCUCGUUGCUAGAGGCCGAGGCAGAGGCCGGGGGAGGGCACCGGCCCGAGGUAGGGGACCAGGGCAUCCUAUAGUGAUCCUAGUAGUACCACCAGCAGAUCCCGCGGGAGAUCCUAUCAUCGAGAAGCAGGGUGAGGUUCCCGCAACAGAUCCCACCCUAGCGGACAUUAUGACAGCACCGGGAUUCCGGGAGGUCAUGGGUCAUAUACUGCGGUUCUUGGAUUCUAUGACUCAUGCUGGUUUAUUUCUAGCAGAUCCAGCUACAUCACAGGCAGGAGGGGGAGCACAGACCCCUAUUGCUUAGGCUCCCGGACAUGCAGUUGCAGUGUAUCAGACUCUGGCUGCACUACCCGCAGAUAGGGCUCCGCUAGUUGCUGCAGUGGCACCCCAGCCCAGACCAGCUGCGGAUGGUGAUCCACAGAAGUUAUUGGAUAGAUGGACUAGGCUUCACCCUCCGGUCUUCGGGGGCGAGCGUCAUGAGGAUGCCCAGGACUUCAUAGAUAGGUGCAGGGAUAGACUGCACAAUAUGAGGAUAUUGGAGUCGCACGAAAUUGACUUCACUACUUUUUUGCUUGAGGGCAGGGCCCGUAGAUGGUGGCAGUCCUAUGUUCUAGGCAUGCCAAUAAGUUCUCCUCCCAUCACUUAGGGUCAGUUCGCAUAGUUGUUCUUGGAUAGGUACAUUCCACCCUCUGAUAGGGAAGAGUUACGGUAUCAGUUUGAGCAUCUGAAGCAGGGUCAGAUGUCUGUGACCGAUUAUGAGGCGAGGUUUUCUGAGUUGUCUCGCCAUGCACUCACGAUAAUUCCUAUAGAUGCAGAGAGAGUGCAGAGAUUUAUUGGGGGGUUGCACCCCAAUAUUCGAGAUGGCAUGGCUCGAGAGGUGGAGAUGGGUACUGAGUAUCAACUAGUGGUAGAGAUUGCUCGCAUGAAUGAGGGGUAUUGCAAGAGGGGUAGAGAGCAGAUUCAGCAGGACAAGAGGGCCUGGUUUUCGGGAGAGUUCUGAGGCACCCCAGUUAGGAGUAGAGGUCACUUUGGGAGGGGUCAGCCCAGCAAACCCCCAUAUUCAGCACUACCACCCCCUCCCCGAGGUGCUCUAGUGAGGCCUUAUUUCAGUGCGAUGCCAGAGAGUUCAUAUCGACCACCAGUUAUUCAGGGUUCCUCUGGUGGGUAUUCUGGUCAUCAUUAUUCUUCCAGUGCUCACUUCAGUGUCGUGCCAGAGAGUUCAUAUCUCCUACCAGCCAUCCAGGGUUCCUCCAGUGGGUAUUCGGGUCAGCAGGCUAAGACUUCAAGGUAGCAGGAAAUGGUACCGAGAGCGUGUUACGAGUGUGGAGAUCCGGGUCACAUGAAGAGGACCUACCCCAGACUUUGGGGCAAGGUAGUGCAGUAGAGUCAGCAGCAUAUGAUUUUAGCACUGGCUUCCCCGACACCUAGGGGUGGAGGGUAGAUGGGUAAGGGCCAUCCUAAAGGUAGAGGCCAGGAAGGGAGAGGUCAGCCAGCCACUGCUCAGUCUGGUGGAGGCCAGCCAGCCGGCACUCCAGCCAAAUUCUAUGCCCUUCCGGCUAGGCCAGAUGCAUUGGCCUUAGAUGCCGUCAUCACAGGUAUUAUUUUUGUCGGCAUUAGAGAUGCUUCAGUAUUAUUUGAUACAGGUCUACUUAUUCAUAUGUAUCAUCUCUGUUGUGGAUCGGAUCUACCGGUCUUGUGUGGUUACACUUUGUGUUUUUGAAACUAGAGCAGAUCUCAUGUUACUUGAUAUAAUCGAUUUUGAGAUCAUCCUAGGCAUGGAUUGGUUCUCUCUGUAUCACGCCGUCCUGGAUUGCUAUGCCAAAAUUGUUACUUUAGCGAUGCCAGGGUUGCCGAGGUUGGACCGGAAGGGUUCCACAGUUCAUACAUCUAGUCGGGUUAUUUCUUUCCUGAAGGCUCGGCAAAUGGUCGAGAAGGGGUGUUUGGAUUAUUUGGAUUAUGUUUGAGACACCACUGCAGAGUCUCCGAAGAUUGAUUCAAAUCCAGUAGUUCGAGAGUUUGCCGAUGUGUUUCCUUUUGAUCUACCUGUCAUGCCACCAGAUCGUGAUAUUGAUUUCUGCAUUGAUUUGGCUCCAGGCACCCAGCUUGUAUCUAUCCCACCGUACCGUAUGGCUCCGAAAGAGUUGAAGGAGUAGCUUGAGGAGUUGUUAGCAAAGGGGUUUGUUAGACCCAGUGUAUACCCUUAGGGUGCACCAAUGUUAUUUGUGAAGAAGAAGGAUGGAACUAUGCUGAUGUGCAUGGAUUACUGCUAGUUGAACAAAGUCACCAUCAAGAACAAGUAUCCAUUGCCUUGUAUCGACGAUUUGUUCGACCUGUUGCAGGGUGCUAGGGUGUUCUCCAAGAUUGACUUGAGGUCCGGUUAUCAUCAGCUGAAUAUUCGGGACUCGGAUGUUCUGAAGACUGCAUUCUGGACUAGAUAUGGCCACUAUGAGUUCCUAGUGAUGUCCUUUGGCUUGACUAAUGCCCCAACAACAUUCAUAGACUUGAUGAACAGGGUAUUCAGGCCUUACAUUGAUUCAUUUGUCGUUGUCUUCAUUGACGACAUCUUGAUAUACUCCCGUAGCCUAGGGAGCACGAGCAACAUUUGAUGGUAGUGCUUCAGACCUUGCGAAAGUAGAAGCUAUAUGCUAAGUUCUCCAAGUGUGAGUUCUGGCUAGUGUCAAUGGCAUUCUUGGGGCAUAUUAUGUUAGGAGAGGGUAUUAAGGUGGACCCCAAGAAUAUUGAGGCAGUUCAGAGUUGGCCACGUCCUACUUUGGUGACUGAGAUUAGGAGAUUCCUGGGGUUAGCAGGUUACUACAAACGAUUCGUGCAGGGCUUUUCAGUUAUUGCAUCACCUCUAACUAGAUUGACCCAGAAGGGUGCUCCUUUCCAAUGGUCCGAUGAUUGUGAGGCGAACUUUCAGAAGCUCAAGAUAGGCUUGACUAUAACACCAGCCCUUGUGUAGCCUUCCGAUUUAGGGAUGUAUAUGGUAUAUUGCAAUGUUUCGCGCAUUGGAUUGGGGUGUGUAUUGAUGUAGGAGGGGCGAGUUAUUGCAUAUGUCUCGCGCCAACUUAAGGUUCAUGAGAAGAAUUAUCACAUGCACGAUCUAGAUUUGGCCGUGAUUGUUCAUGCUCUUAAGAUAUGGAGGCAUUAUCUGUAUGGGGUGUUAUGUGAGGUUUAUACAGAUCAUCGCAGCUUACAAUAUUUGUUCAAACAGAGGGAUCUUAAUUUGAGGCAGUGCAGGUGGCUUGAGUUACUAAGGGAUUAUUAUAUCACAAUUCUUUUCCAUCCGGGCAAGGCUAAUGUGGUCACGAAUGCCUUAAGUAGGAAGGCAGAGAGUAUGGGAAGCUUGGCAUUCAUUCCAGCGGAGGAGAGGACACUAGCCUGGGACAUUCUGUCCUUGGCUAACAGACUUGUGAGGUUGAAUAUUUCAUAGCCCAAUCGAGCUCUUGCAUGUGUGGUUUCUCAGUCUUCAUUAUUUUGCGGUUCUCAGAAAGACAGUGCUUCAGGGAGGUGCCAAAGAGGUUUCUAUUAGCGAGGAUGGUGUUUUGCGACUCCAAGGUCGUCUAUGUUUUCCUAAUGUCGAUGGUAUAAGGGAGAGGAUUCUAGAAGAGGCACACAGUUCGCGGUAUUCCAUCCAUCCGGGAGCUACGAAGAUGUAUUGUGACUUGAGAUAGCAUUAUUGGUGGCGGAGGAUGAACAAUGACAUAGUGGAGUAUGUGGCUAUGUGUCUGAAUUGCCAGCAGGUCAAGUAUGAACACCAGAGGCCGGGUGGCCUACUUCAGCAGAUGCCUAUAGCAGAGUGGAAGUGGGAGCGCAUUACCAUGGAUUUCGUAGUUGGGUUGCUGCGGACUUUGCGGAAGUUUGAUUCAGUGUGAGUCAUUGUCGAUAGAUUGACCAAGUCGGCACACUUCAUACCGGUGGUGACUACUUAUACUUCGGAGAGACAAGCUCAGAUUUACAUUCGGGAUAUAGUCCGGUUGCACGGUGUGCCUAUUUCCAUCAUAUCAGAUAGAGGCCCUCAGUUCACUUCACAUUUCUGGAGAGCUGUUCAGGGUGAGCUGGGGACCCGCAUGGAGCUUAGCACGACAUUUCAUCCAUAGACCGACGAGCAGUCGGAGCGGAUAGUUCUAAUUUUGGAGGACAUGCUUAGAUCAUGUGUGAUUAACUUUGGAGGACAGUGGGAUCAGUUCUUGCCCUUGGCAGAGUUUGCGUACAACAACAGCUAUCAAUCCAUCAUAAAGAUGGCUCUAUAUGAGGCAUUAUAUGAUCGACAUUGUCGUUCUCCUAUCGGGUGGUUUGAGCCUGGUGAGGCUAAGUUAUACAGUACAGAUUUGGUACAGGAUGCCUUGGACAAGGUAUUAGUGAUUCAGGAAAGGCUUCGUACAGUUCAGUCCAGACAGAAGAGCUAUGCAGAUCAGAAGGCGCGUGAUGUUUCAUUCAUGGUUGGCGAGAAGGUCCUCUUGAAAGUCUCGCCAAUGAAGGGCAUUAUAAGAUUCGGGAAGAAAGGCAAGAUGAGCCCAAGGUUUAUUGGCCCAUUUGAGGUGUUGAGGCGAUUUGGGGAGGUUGCUUACAAGCUUGCAUUACCCCCCAGCUUAUCGGGAGUUCAUCCGAUAUUUUAUGUAUCGAUGCUUCGGAAGUAUCACGCCGACCUGUCCCAUGUGUUAGAAUUCAGUACUAUUCAGCUGGACGAGAGUUUGGGUUAUGAGGAGGAGCCAAUUGUCAUUACUGAUAGACAGGAUCGCCAGUUGAGGUCCAAUAGGAUUUUUGUGGUAAGAGUCCAGUGGAGGGGCCAAGCAGUCGAGAAAGCGACCUGGGAGUCCGAGGAGGACAUGCAGUGCAGAUAUCCAUAUUUAUUCAGCAGCUCAGGUACUUUUCUAUGUCUGUUCAAGGACGAACGUUUGUUUAAGAGGUGGAGAGUGUAACGACCCGACUGGUCGUUUUGCCUUUUAGAACCCUGUUCCCUUGAAUAAAACUUCUCGUGCUUGCUUUAACUAAUUUACGACUUGAGGGGAUGGUGGGUUCAGGAUUUGGAAGAGUUGGAGUAAAUUAUGCCCAUUUGAUUCCUUAGGAUUUUCUUAAAAGACUAAGUUUGACUUUGGUUAAUAUUUUGAGCAAACGGACCCAGCUUCGUGAUUUGACAAUCCCGGAGGGUCCGUAGGUAAAUAUGGGACCUGGGCGUAUGCUCGGAAUUGAAUUACGAGGUCCUUAUCCCGAGUAAUGAAUUUUUAUUAGAAAUUGUUAAUCUGAAGUUUUAAAUAUUUAAAGAAACUAAUUAAUGAAUUAUUCCAUAGGUAUCGGGCUCGUAUGUUGGUGAUGAAGCCCAGUACAGGUCCGAUAUAUCAUUUAACGCCCGCCUGUAAAUUUUGUGUCAAUCCAAGUAGUUUAAGGGCGUUUUGGCCCGUUAGAGAAAAAUUAAGAACUUGAAGUUCAUAUGUUUGAUUCAAUUGGUUUUACGAGUGAUUCUUAGAUUUAGCAUUGUUUCGGGCGUUCCGAAGCAUCGAGUAGGUCCGUUUCGUGAUUUCAGACUUGACGGUAUUUUCGGGCGGGGCCCGGGAGCCCCGAGCGUCAAUCGGGCGAGGCUCGAGUGAAGUUAAACUUUUUGAGAAGUGCUGAAGCUAUUGUUUCUGUCACAACCACAUCUGCGGUUGUUGGACCGCAGAUGCGAGACUACAGAUGCGGUCCAUCUAUCGUAGAUGCGGCCCAGGGAAGGCCAGACCAAACCGCAGAAGCAACUCUCGAACCACAGAAGCGCCCUCAAGACCGUAGAAGCGGUCCCAGCCCUUUUAGCCCCUUUUUGUAGAUGUGGUCCCUUCUCGCAGAUGCGGUCCCCUGACCGCAGAUGCAGGAAUCUCUGAAGCAGUGAGGUUCAUUUAAUACGGGUUCUAAGUCAUUUUCGACACUUUUUACUCCUCCAUUGGCGAUUUUGGGAACUUUUGGAAGCGGUAUUCUACUUGGCAUCUUGAGGUAAGCUUACCCCACCCAUUCUUAGUUUUACACUUGUGUUUUAGGUAGAUUAAACACUAGGGUUAAGAUAAAAUCAUGGGGUUAGAGCUACACUUAGGGUUUUAAUAAAACUUAGAUAUUAGAAAUCAUAUAUUAUUGAUCCUUAGGUUAUAGAGAACAACUUCCUUUGAAAAAUUUCGGAAUCCGGGCACAUGGGCCCGGGGUCAGAUUUUAGGAAACUUGUGUUAAAGGUUGGAAAAUUGCUUAAAAGCUAGAAUUCAAUCUUAUGAGUCUAUAUUGACUAGUUCGUACCUCAUUUAAUUAGUUUGGGACCGUUCAACUCCGAAUUAAGGGCUUGGAGUCGUUCUUGGUAUUGGAAGUACACUUUGGAGCGAGGUGAGUCUCUUUUCUAACCUUGUAAGAGAGAAUUGUACCCAUAAGUAUAAUAAUUGAAUUAAUUGCUAUUAUAUGUGGGGGCUACGUACGCACUAUGUGACGAGAGUCCGUGUGUAGCUACUAUUAUAUUAAGUCCGGGUAGUUUAGGACCCAAAAGCAUGAUCUACAUGGUAUUCAUGUAACUUAAUUAUAAAUUUGGAUUCAUAUAAAUCAUGUUGAUUAAGGUAAAUAAGACUAGUAGAGUAACCAUAUCUUGCUUGGUCUUUUAAAAGAGGAUUUGAAUAUUCCUGUGAACAACUACUCCUCAGAUAUACAUUAUUGUUUGCCUCUUAAUGAGUUAUUUAUAUUUGACCGCAUCGCACGUGUGAUUCACGAGUGGGGUAAUAGAUGCAUCUAGCGUUCGAGCCGUCCGACCCUCGGCAGUGCACAAUUUACUUUUAUGUUGGAUCGGGCCGUACGUCCCUCGGUGUUGCUUGUGCAUGCUUUACUUAGUAUUUCUCUGUGGACUGAACUUUAUAUAUGCCUUGAAACGUAAAUGGAUACCCAUGAUAUAAUUUGGAAGAAGAAUUGUUAUUCCUUGCCAUACAAUGCUAAUAAAUUGUGCUAUCCAUGCUUAUAACAGAUUCUUUCUCAUAUUAAUUGACCAUAGUAAGUAUCAAAUCAACCUCUAGGCUCUACUUCUUCGAAAUUAGACGGCAUACUUACUGGGUACAUAUUGUUUAUGUACUCAUACUACACUUUUGUACUUAAUUGUAUAGGAUCUGAGACAAGUGUAUCUGGCUAUCAGUCUGGUGCACAUUCCUGUGCGGAUUUCGAGACUUCCACGGUGAGCUGCUCUCUUCCUGUGCCGUUCAACAGCUUGAUGGGGUCUUCCUUUACUUUUGUUGUCUAUUCUAUCUCGGACAGCAGGAUAGUAUUAUUCUUUUGUACAUUCUACUAGUUGCCCACUACUUGUGAUACCAGGUCUUGGCACACACAUUAGUAGACAGUUCUUUUGGGUUGUAUAAUUAUUAUUACAUAUUGCUUAUCAUCACCUGUUUUCAAUUGCAAAUUAAGAAAUGUUGUAACCGCUUUGGGUAAAUAAAAUAAGAAUUUACUGAUACUUCCGCGUUGGCUUGCCUGACAACGAUGUUGGGCGCCAUCACGACCCUUGGUGGAUUUUGGGUCAUGACACGUGAAUAGCUGGGCACAAUGUUUAAAAGAACAUCUCCGCGAUUUUGGUUCUACGUUUCACAAUUGUUAAGUGAUUUUGGAGCUUUUUAAAGGAGAUUGAAGAGCGAAUCAAGGGGAAACACUUAGAGGUAAGAUUUAUGGACUUAAUACUCAAUCCUAAUGUGAUUUCUACCUAAUUAAACAUGGCAAUUAUGGAAUCUAAAGCCUAAAAUUAGAAGUUAGGGCUUGGAAAUCGGAGACUUGAAUCUAGGAAUUUGAUGGGUCAUUUGUGGUCAAAUUUUGAUGUAUUUGAUAUGUAUGAACUCGUGACAGUUUAUGGAUUCUAGUUUUGUGAUUUUUAUCGGAAUCAGAGACGUAGGCUCGGGGGUCGGGUUUGGCCAAUUUCGAGUUUUUUGAUGUAAAUUGAUUAUUCUCGAGUGGGCUUUGUUCCCUUAGCAUAUUUUGAUGGUAUAAAUCUAUUUUUGAAUAUAUUUGGAGCAUCUAGAGCCGAUUCGAGAGGAAAAAGCAUCGCGGGCUAGAGUUUGGACCAGAUAGAGGUAUGUAAUGAUUGUAAAUGCUGUCAUGAAGAUAUGAAACCCCGGAUUUCAAAUCGUUGUUCUACUUUGAUCGGAAUGUGUUUUCCCCAUUGCAUCGCUUGAAAAAAAUUUCAUGUAAUUGGUAAAUUUUAUUUUCAAAAUUAAACUCAUUCUUUAUGUUUGAUAUAUUAUUUUAAUAUGAAAAUUUGAAAAAAUGAGAAACAGAAAAAGUGAAAAAAUAAAAGGAUGAUCAAGACAAGUCUUCUACUGUUAUGAAAGCUUUACAUAAUUUAAUUAAGAUGAAAUUCCUUAGAAAUAUUAUCAUAUGUAAGUGAUUUUUAUUAUUUCAUGGUGGCUUCUCGAUAUAUAGUAAUUUAUAAAAUAUAUUUUUAAUUUAUAUUGGAUCGCGUAGUUUUUGAUUAUUCAAAUCAUCAUGUAAACAAUAAAAAAAUAUACUAGAUACCCAAUAUUAUUAUUUUUGUAGCUAUAUGUUUUACGGAUUAAAAUAUUUAAUAUAUAUUCUUACUCUAUAUUUUAUAUAUUAAAUUAAAUAAAAAAUAAAUUUAAUUAUUGUGAUGACCUCUUUACUUGCUUUUAAUUGAAUUUUGUGUCUCCGAGGCCUUGAAAACCUCAUUUAGAGUCGCCUCGAUUUGCAUGCGCAAUCCUGGCGGGUAUCCGAAAAGCUUAAAUAUGAACAUCUGUGAAAAAUGAUAAAAAUAUUUGUUAUAAAAAUGAGUAAAUUUGACUUCGGUCAACAUUUUGGGUAAACGGACUCUGACCCGUAAUUUGACGGUUCCAAAGGGUUCGUAGGAAAAUAUGGGACUUGAGCGUAUGCCCGAAAUCGAAUUCCGAGGUCCCAAGCCCGAGAAUGAAUUUUUGAAGAAAAUUAUUUUCUGAAAUUGCUUAAGGAAACAUGAAAUGAAAUCUGAUUAGAAUGUGAUGGUAUCGGGCCUGCAUUUUAUUUUCGGCGCCCGGUACAUGUCGUAUAUAUUAUUUAAGACAUUCCUAUAAAAUUUGGUUAAAAACGGAUAUCAUUUGACGUGAUUCGGAUCUAAAUUGCUAAAUUUGAUACUUGAUGAAGUUUGAGAAAAACUCUUUGAUUUUGAGGUUUGAUUCGUUUUUAUUUUGGCGAUUUGAUCGCACGGAUAAGUUCGUAUGAUAUUGUUGAGUUAGUACGUAUGUUUGGUUAGGAGCCCUGAGGGCUCAGGUGUGUUUCGGAUGUGAUUCAGGAAGUUUAAACUUAAGAAAAAGUUGCAGAAUUUCUGCUACAGGUGCUCAGUCCUGUUGUUCAUCGCGAUCACGUAGUCACUCUCGCGAUCGCGUAAGGUAAAUGGGGACAGGGGUGAUUUGUCUAUCGCGAACGCGGAGCCGCAGUCGCGAACACGAAGCUUUGGGGGAUUUUCUCAUCCCGAAAGUGACCUGUGUGACGUGAACGCGUAUCGUUAAUUGGAGGGGGCUGGGAUUUUGGUCGUUCUUCUAAGCGAACGCGUAAGCUUUUCCGCGAACGUGAAGGUCAGAGGGGUCAACCCUUCGCGAACGCGUGAAAGAACUCGCAAUCGCGUAAGUCCAUUACUAGCAGCCCUUCGGGAUCGCGGCAACGUUCUCGUGAACGCGCUGAACAUUGUCGCCCAGCACUUAAAACAGUAGCCAUUUCGGGAUUUAUUCAAAGUUUCAUAACUUUUUCACUUAACUCCAAAUUGGGCGAUUUUUGAAAGAGGAUUUCACCACAAAUUCAUAGGUAUGUAAUCUUAGACUCAUUUUCCAUCAACACCCACUAGAUUUCUAGGCCUAAAGCAUGUGAAUAAGGGUAGAAAAUUAGGGAUUUGGGUAGAGUUAGGGCCUUUUGAUUAUUCAUGAUUUAGACCUCGUUUUGGGGUCGGAUUUAAAAAACAAUUAUAUAUUCGGGCUCAUGAGUGAAUGGGUAAUCGGGUUUUGGUUUGAACCUAGGGUUUUGACCAUGUGGGCCCGGGGGAAUUUUUUGACUUUUUAGGUAAAACUUUGAAAAACGCAUUUUUAUGCAUCGGGGUUGAUUCAUGUAGCGUUUAUUGAUGUAAUUAGGUAAUUUGUGACUAGAUACAAGCGAAUUGGAGGUGGAAUCAAGGGGUAAAGCUAUAAUUGAACUUUGUGUUAUGUUCGUGACAUUGAGGUAAGUGUUUGGUCUAACCUUAGCUUGAGGGAUUAGGAGUUGAGUCCUAUUUUCUAUGUGGUAAUUGUUGAGUACGACGUAUAAGCAUGGUGACGAGUAUUUAUACGUUGGUGUCAAGCAUGAUCGUGAGUCUUAUAUUGUGAUUUUCAUGAUUUCGUUGCAUUAUUCAUGCCUUGGUGAAGAUUUAUAAUUGUUGUAUAAGGUUUGUGGAAAGAAUUGUGACCUAUGAACAUUGAGGAGCGUUGGCUCAAGUUGCAUAAUGAAUUGUGAAAGUAUAAGUGAUAGUUGAACUUUUAGAGCAUUGGCUCGAGUUGUGAAAUGAGUUGUGACGGUAUAAGUGAUAAUUGAACCUCUAGAGCAUUGGCUCGAGUUGUGAAGUAAAUUGUGAAGUAAAAGUGAGAAAGAGGAAAUAUCAUUAUGUUGUCACCCUUGCCAGGCUAUCGUUGAUUUAUUUGUUAUCUCCCUUGCCGGGAUGUGGAUGUUAUUGAUGUUGUUCCCUUGCCAGGAUUUAAUUGUUAACUUGUUGCUCCCUUGCCGGGAUUCUUAUUGCAAAUUUCCUUUAUUUCCUUNNNNNNNNNNNNNNNNNNNNNNNNNUGAGAGAGUGUUAAAGUAUGAAGGGUGAUGCCGUGUAUUGUUUUGGUGAGAGAGAGUAAAAGUACGAUGGGUGAUGCCGUGCACUUGUCUUUGAUUUCCUAAUUGUUAUUGAUAGCUGAGUUACGACUUCUCUACACUAAAUUCCUGGCUUCCUGUUGAUACUUGUUGUACCCCGCAACAUGAUUUCCCCUUCCUAUUUUCAAAUGAACUGUUGUGAUCCUCAUAUUUAUUUGUUGCUCUUUCGUUACUACUCGAUGUUUCCCCGCAACAUGUUUUCCCCCUCCCAUACUUGAUUGUAUAUGACCGUUGCUUUCUGUACUUCUUUUCUGCUGUAAAUAGUUAAAUUGCACAGGUUUAUUUGGUAGUCUGGUCCUAACCUCGUCAUUACUUCGCCGAGGUUAGGCUAGGCACUUACCAGCACAUGGGGUCGGUUGUGCUGAUACUACACUCUGCCCUCUUUUGUGCAGACCCCAGUAUUGUAGACUUCGGACCGCAGUGGGAUUGUUGAUUCUUGCUCAUCAGGCGACCCGAGGUAGUCCUGCAGACGUCCACAGGCCUUGGCGUCUCCUUAUAUCUACUAUUCUUGUUUCUUACAUGCAUUUCAAGAGACGGUGUUGUAUUUAUUUCUUUCAGACCUUUAAUUGUAGUAUUUUUAGACCGUCUGUGAAACUGUGACACCAGUUCUGGGUAGUCGAGACUCAAACAGUUGUAUUAGAUAUUCCUGUUCAGAUAACUUAUUGUUUCUUUUUUUCGCUUGUGUUGAAUUCCGCUUUGUAAAUGUUAUUAUUUUGAAAUUGUUAAUGAAUAUAAAAUUGGUAAAAAGGUAAAUUGUGCAAUAAUUGGCUUGCCUAGCUCACAUUAGUAGGCGUCAUCACGACUCCCGAGGGUGGAAAAUCCGGGUCGUGACAAUUAUAUAUAUAUAUAUAUAUAUAUUCAAAUUUUUGAUAAAAGGUAAACUUUUUGCUUGCAAAACUAUCAGACAACACAAUACUUCAUGGCAUUUAAAAAAGUUGUUAAAUAUUUUUAACCUUGUUUUCUUUCCAAAUGGAAUAAAAUAACUCUUUUGAACGAAAGGAAAUAUUGCAAAGGCACAACACCGGAACUCUCGGAGGAAAAAUAGUAUUGCUUUCACAUGCUUUAUAUGGAAAAAUUAUAUGGUUUAGCUAACUUAUAUAUUGUAUUUAUUAUUAAUAGAUAUACUUUUAAAAAAAUUGCUAUGCAUAGCAAUAUUUGAAUGUUAUAACAAUUUACUUGUAGUACUGAAACAAGAGAUCAAUUAUUUUGAACUGAACGCUAACAACAUAAGCUCUCGUAACUCAGUUGGUUAGAACACCCAUUUAGUAAGAGGGCGGUGUUGAGAUUGACUCUCAUCGUGAGCAUUUUGUUUCUUAAUUUUUUUUUUGUAUUUCUAUAUUUCGCCUUGGUUGUACGCAUUGUGAAAUACAUGUUAUAUUUGUUGCGCUAAAUAUAAAUUAGGCAAACUAUAGUUACGAAUGGUAAUUAAACUCUAAACCAUAGUGUUUUGUGAAAAUUCCUUUAUUAUCAUCAUAGUUCUUUAUUGUUCGAGUGACAUUAAGUAAAAUAAAAACUGAAGAUUAAUUAGAAAAAAUUAAUGCUUAGAAUUUAAUUUUGCAAGUAACGGGUUCAUGGGAAAAACGCAUGAAACAGUUGCUAUAAAAAUAUUGAGAAACAUACUACUUCUUUAAUCCCCCUUAUUCACAUAGUGACUUUAAUGCAUUUGAGUGAAGCAAAAAUGACAACAUCACAAAUCUUUGUCCUUAUGACUUUCAUGGUCUUCGCCUUUGCAUCACUAGGUGGGUAUUUUCUUUUAAUUGAAUUAGCAAAAGUUAGUACUAAAUUUAUAAUAUCAAAACUCAUUUAUUUUUCUAAUCAAUGAAAAAAAUUAAUUAUGCCUGUAAAUAUUUUUAAUUUCUACCAAAUUAAUGACAAUACUUGUCAUCAUGUUCUUUAAUUAAACUUAUGAUGCCAAACAUUUUUAAUGAUUAUGAUUAUUCAUUAAAAUUCAGUAUCCAAUGGAUUGUUUAAAACUAUUUAAAAAAAAGUAUUUAGAGGUGUUAGUGGUUUUCUUGUAACUUCUUGAAUUCAUCAAGCGAAAUACAUUUGUGAAUAAAUUGAAAAAUAUGAAGUAAACAAAAGAAUCUUCAUUUUGUUUGAUUUUAAUCAUUUAUGUUAAUGAAUCAUCAACUCUUAAUUUAAAUAUUUGAACUCAUGCAGAGUUGACAGCUGGGCAAUGUUGGCUUUUUGUUCACGAAGAUUGGGGAUCCUGUACAAGUGACGAUGAUUGUCAGGUUCAGUGUAACAAAUAUCAUGACCGUGCAGCUUUUNUGUUAAAGGUCAAUGUGAAGCUCAAAUGAGUGUAUGUAGUUGUCAAGCUUGUUCUUACUAACAAUAUAAUAAUUUAUUAUACUGUUGGUAUAUAAGUUAACCAGUUAAUUACAAUUUGUUAUUACUUUAUUUUCGAUGUUAUUGUAUUUAGAAUGCUUGUUAUAAAAAUUACAUGUUAUCAUAAGUAAACUUAACUUAAUAGUGUGAUAACCAAAGAGAAAAUUUAGAAUAAAAUAUGGUUUUUGUCG